Molecule: non-coding RNA, 85 nt
Filed under: Sphaerobacter thermophilus
Lineage: Bacteria; Pseudomonadati; Thermomicrobiota; Thermomicrobia; Sphaerobacterales; Sphaerobacteraceae
Also listed under: 1 other name
Description: c-di-GMP-II sequence
Rfam family: Cyclic di-GMP-II riboswitch aptamer
Source: RNAcentral
CGAAACGUCGGAGACGUUGAGGCGCAGGCUGUAAUCUGGGCACCUCGCCUGCGCCGAGUCUGAGGUGCAACCGGCCGACCCUUUG